AAGUCGAGCGAACGGACGAGAAGCUUGCUUCUCUGAUGUUAGCGGCGGACGGGUGAGUAACACGUGGAUAACCUACCUAUAAGACUGGGAUAACUUCGGGAAACCGGAGCUAAUACCGGAUAAUAUUUUGAACCGCAUGGUUCAAAAGUGAAAGACGGUCUUGCUGUCACUUAUAGAUGGAUCCGCGCUGCAUUAGCUAGUUGGUAAGGUAACGGCUUACCAAGGCAACGAUGCAUAGCCGACCUGAGAGGGUGAUCGGCCACACUGGAACUGAGACACGGUCCAGACUCCUACGGGAGGCAGCAGUAGGGAAUCUUCCGCAAUGGGCGAAAGCCUGACGGAGCAACGCCGCGUGAGUGAUGAAGGUCUUCGGAUCGUAAAACUCCGUUAUUAGGGAAGAACAUAUGUGUAAGUAACUGUGCACAUCUUGACGGUACCUUAUCAGAAAGCCACGGCUAACUACGUGCCAGCAGCCGCGGUAAUACGUAGGUGGCAAGCGUUAUCCGGAAUUAUUGGGCGUAAAGCGCGCGUAGGCGGUUUUUUAAGUCUGAUGUGAAAGCCCACGGCUCAACCGUGGAGGGUCAUUGGAUACUGGAAAACUUGAGUGCAGAAGAGGAAAGUGGAAUUCCAUGUGUAGCGGUGAAAUGCGCAGAGAUAUGGAGGAACACCAGUGGCGAAGGCGACUUUCUGGUCU
Molecule: ribosomal RNA, 694 nt
Filed under: uncultured Staphylococcus sp.
Lineage: Bacteria; Bacillati; Bacillota; Bacilli; Caryophanales; Staphylococcaceae
Description: bacterial SSU rRNA
Rfam family: Bacterial small subunit ribosomal RNA
Source: RNAcentral